ACGCGAGCUGGGUUCAGACCGUCGUGAGACAGGUCGGUCUCUAUCCGCUGUGGGCGUAAGGGAUUUGAGAGGAGCUGCCCCUAGUACGAGAGGACCGGGGUGGACAGACCGCUGGUUUGCCAGUUGUCGUGCCAACGGCACUGCUGGGUAGCUAUGUCUGGCAGAGAUAACCGCUGAAAGCAUCUAAGUGGGAAACUCGCCUCAAGAUUAGAUCCCUGUUUUCCCGUAAGGGAGUAAGGUCGCAGGUAGACUACCUGCUUGAUAGGCAACAAGUGUAAGCGCAGUAAUGUGUUAAGCUUAGUUGUACUAAUGACCGAGGACUUCUCUG
Molecule: ribosomal RNA, 328 nt
Filed under: Chloroflexota bacterium
Lineage: Bacteria; Bacillati; Chloroflexota
Description: Chloroflexi bacterium (sediment metagenome) partial 23S ribosomal RNA
Rfam family: Bacterial large subunit ribosomal RNA
Source: RNAcentral